CUUUGUGGUAUGAAAAAGCGGUCACCAUUAGGGUCUGGGGACCCCAAGCCUUUUCGUGUGGCUAUUUGAGAAGGUAAAGCCUCUCUGGCCUUGUGCUGGCACUCCCUCGUCAGGCCCAGAGCACGGGGUGUUCAUGACAGAAGUGUGCAUCUGUGUCAUCUCCCGACAAGGACUGUCACUUCCUUGGGGGAGAGACCGUCUCUGUAGGGGAGGCUCCCCUGCAGAAGCUGACAUUGUGGGUAUCCAAGGUUUUCUUCCCUUGCUACGAGGAAGAAAGGUUCUCUGAUGAUUCUUCUCUGCUCUCGGAGAUGGACAAACGCAUCUUCAUUGACCUUCUGAAAUGGUAGCCUUGUCUGGAGCCAAGUCAUACUCGGGGGUCAGCGGGGCCGAGAGGAGAAUGCCCAGGAUGAACCCAGGGUCCUCCUGUGUCUCCCGCCCGCAGAAAUGAGGGCCACAGAGAGGGCGCUUCCCCGGCCAUUGACAGGGGCGGGAUAGGGAAGCACACGUCCCUCUGGUUAUAAGAGAGGCAAGUAGGUAACCCAAGCUCUGGGCAAGGUGCUUUGGAGAUGUGAGUGAGGCAUGGCACGCCUCACUGUCUCCAACCUUCCAUUCCCUCGCCUUGUGGGGCUACUGCCUGACCCUGGAGUCCCAGGGUUGGAGGAACCUUUGCAUUCAUCUGACUUCUCGCUUUGCAGAGUAAGUCAAAUGGGGAGGUAUGGGUGACGCUUACUGCUCUCGCCAACCCAUCCUGAAGGAGAUGCCUCCUGCCCGCGUCCUGGCACCCCAGGGAAGUGUCAGAAAUUUCCAGAGACACGAACAUAAAAAAUACAUCCCAGACGUGGGUGUCAGGGACUGUCGGUCACUCUGGCAUGACAAAGCAAAGGUGUCAGGGUCAAGUUUCUGUACUCUUUAAGACCGGUUGGCUAGUUCCUCCUGUCUUAACGACUCUGAAAUCGAUAAUGGACAGGUUACCGCUUAGCUUAGGCUGACCCCCAUUGAUUUUUUUGUUACCAUCGCAAGUACCUGAGAUGUUAUUUCUUGAGCUUAUUUUAUUUUAGCUUUGAUUCUUUACAAGAUCAUCAGGGCUCUAGGCAUGGGUCUUUGGAAACUUGCAAGAAAUGCGAGGACCAUCGCUGCUGACUUGCCUUAGAAGCUUGGGAUGUAGGAAACGGGUGUUUGGUGUUCUUUCUUGCAGCUCCGUGUGUGUAGACAGGGUUACCCAUCACACCGGCGUGAGCGAAUGAGAUGCCCGGGGCCUGUGUCCCCCAGGCCCCACCCGGCUGCUCCCAGAUGUUGAGAUGUCAGCAGACCUAUAGCCCAUUUGAGACUGGCCGUGGGUGAGAAUUCCUGAUAGGAUAUCCCUCUGGGCUUUGCUUCAGGAUAACCCGAGGAUGGGUGUAGGGAGAAGGGGUGGGGUAUGAAUGGAAGGAUGAGCCACAAGCCGGUAAUCAAUGAAACGGUUACGGGAUGGGAUAGUUCAUGAAGAUAUUCUUUCCACUGUUGCAUAUUUUGAAAAUUUUCAUGAUAAAAAGUUUUAAGAAUGAAACAAAGCAUAGCUCAGGCCAGUGAUAGGCCCUGUCGGGUGAUUUUAUCCUAGUUCGCAGGGGUAUGAGUUGUGGGUUUGAGGUUGUUAUAUCAAGUCAUCUCUUAUCUGUGGGGUAUGUACAUAUGAUAAAGUUUCAUUUAUAAAAUUAGGCACAGUAAGGGGAUUAGCAAUAAUAACAUAAUGAAAGAGGCCAGUUAUAACAAUAUUCUGUAAUGAAAGUUAUAUGAAUGUGCUUUCCCUCUCUCUUUCUCAAGUAUCUAUCUGAUAACCAACCUGGUAACUGAGAAGGCUACUAAGUGGUGAAGGGAUGGCUUACCUACCCAGGUGGGAUGGGGUGGGACUUCAUCAUGCUACUCAGAACUGUGCACAAUAUAAUACUUAUGAAUUGGUUGUUUCCGGAAUUUUCCAUUUAAUAUUUUCAGACCACCACUGGCCAUGGCUAACUGAAGCUGUGGAAGUGAAACCAUGGAUAAGGGGAGACUAUUAUAAUAAAGAAUUUGACUGGCCUUUGUCCCUGGUUUCCAGAGGGGAAAUUCUGAAUCCUUGGCAUUUCCCCAGGAAGAGGAGUGUCUGUCAUUCACAGCCCCUUGGGUCAAGCCUGCGUUUAUGCUAGUUGAGAUGACCCAGGAUGGGGCCUGGUCAUCAGAAAGGCCAACCAUGAGUUUAGAAGGUUGGGACUUGGAGCCCGCCUGACCUCCACGAGGCGAGAGGGCCAGGAGAUGGAUUCAAUCAGUUAUGCCUUUGUAAUGAAACUCCGAAAAAAAACCUCUGGACACUGAAGCUCUGCUGAACACAGCCACACAUCCCGGUUCCACGGCCGUGGGGAGGGUGGAGGGUUCAGAAGCUCUGCACUUGGGUCCCUCCGAGACGGCACUCUGGGUGUCUUCCUUUGGCUGGUCUUGAUUUGUAUUGUUGAUAAGCAAACUAAUCGUUAAGUGGAGCCCUUUUCUGAGCUUUGUGAGUCCCAGUGAAUCAUCCAACCUGAAGGGGGUCGUGUGCUAUACACUGGAUGCUUGUGUAGCCCCAAGAGCCAGAUGUUGAAACCUAACCCCCAAUGUGAUGGAAAUGGAGGUGAUUAGGUCCUGAGGGUGGAGCCCUCUUGGCUGGGAUUAGUGCCCUUCAUA
Molecule: long non-coding RNA, 2670 nt
Organism: Pipistrellus kuhlii (Kuhl's pipistrelle)
Lineage: Eukaryota; Metazoa; Chordata; Mammalia; Chiroptera; Vespertilionidae
Exons: 2
Source: RefSeq, a predicted model, not a curated record